AGAGUUUGAUCCUGGCUCAGAAUCAACGCUGGCGGCGUGCCUCAGACAUGCAAGUCGAACGAUUAAAGCCCUCUUCGGAGGGUGCAUAAAGUGGCGCACGGGUGAGUAACACGUAAGUAAUCUACCUUCGAGUGGGGAAUAACGUUCGGAAACGAACGCUAAUACCGCAUAAUGCAGCGGCAUCUAUGAUGACAGUUGUUAAAGAUUUAUCGCUUGAAGAGGAGCUUGCGGCAGAUUAGCUAGUUGGUAAGGUAACGGCUUACCAAGGCAACGAUCUGUAUCCGGUCUAAGAGGACGGUCGGACACACUGACACUGAAUAACGGGUCAGACUCCUACGGGAGGCAGCAGUCGGGAAUUUUGGGCAAUGGGCGAAAGCCUGACCCAGCAACGCCGCGUGAAGGAUGAAGUUUUUCGGAAUGUAAACUUCGUAAGAAUAGGAAGAAUAAAUGACGGUACUAUUUGUAAGGUCCGGCUAACUACGUGCCAGCAGCCGCGGUAAUACGUAGGGACCAAGCGUUGUUCGGAUUUACUGGGCGUAAAGGGCGCGUAGGCGGCAAUUCAAGUCAUCUGUGAAAUCUCCGGGCUUAACUCGGAACGGUCAGGUGAUACUGCUUUGCUAGAGUGCAGAAGGGGCAAUCGGAAUUCUUGGUGUAGCGGUGAAAUGCGUAGAUAUCAAGAGGAACACCUGAGGUGAAGACGGGUUGCUGGGCUGACACUGACGCUGAGGCGCGAAAGCUAGGGGAGCAAACGGGAUUAGAUACCCCGGUAGUCCUAGCCCUAAACGAUGAAUACUUGGUGUCUGGAGUUUUUAUCCUCCGGGUGCCGUCGCUAACGUUUUAAGUAUUCCGCCUGGGGAGUACGCACGCAAGUGUGAAACUCAAAGGAAUUGACGG
Molecule: ribosomal RNA, 894 nt
Filed under: uncultured bacterium
Lineage: Bacteria
Description: bacterial SSU rRNA
Rfam family: Bacterial small subunit ribosomal RNA
Source: RNAcentral